UUGGAGGGCAAGUCUGGUGCCAGCAGCCGCGGUAAUUCCAGCUCCAAUAGCGUAUAUUAAAGUUGUUGCAGUUAAAAAGCUCGUAGUUGAAUUUCGGGGUCAGUAGGUUGGUCGUGCCACAGGUAUGAACUGGUCUCACUGAUUCCUCCUUCCUGAUGAACCGUAAUGCCAUUAAUUUGGUGUUGCGGGGAGACUGGACUGUUACUUUGAAAAAAUUAGAGUGUUUAAAGCAGGCUAACGCUUGAAUACAUUAGCAUGGAAUAAUGAAAUAGGACGUUCGGUCUUAUUUUGUUGGUUUCUAAGAUUGACGUAAUGAUUAAUAGGGAUAGUUGGGGGCAUUAGUAUUCAAUUGUCAGAGGUGAAAUUCUUGGAUUUAUUGAAGACUAACUACUGCGAAAGCAUUUGCCAAGGAUGUUUUCAUUAAUCAAGAACGAAAGUUAGGGGAUCGAAGACGAUCAGAUACCGUCGUAGUCUUAACCAUAAACUAUGCCGACUAGGGAUCGGAUGAUGUUAAUUUUUUAAUGACUCAUUCGGCGCCUUACGG
This 544-nucleotide ribosomal RNA is filed under the name uncultured Glomus. Its description in RNAcentral is "SSU rRNA". It matches the Rfam family "Eukaryotic small subunit ribosomal RNA", at positions 548 to 1093 of the family's 1831-position model. The record is from RNAcentral. Lineage: Eukaryota; Fungi; Glomeromycota; Glomeromycetes; Glomerales; Glomeraceae.